AGAGUUUGAUCAUGGCUCAGGAUGAACGCUAGCGGCAGGCCUAACACAUGCAAGUCGAGGGGUAGAGGAAGCUUGCUUCCUUGAGACCGGCGCACGGGUGCGUAACGCGUAUGCAAUCUGCCUUGUACUGAGGGAUAGCCCAGAGAAAUUUGGAUUAAUACCUCAUAGUAUUAUGGUGUGGCAUCACAUUAUAAUUAAAGUUCCAACGGUACAAGAUGAGCAUGCGUCCCAUUAGUUAGUUGGUAAGGUAACGGCUUACCAAGACGAUGAUGGGUAGGGGUCCUGAGAGGGAGAUCCCCCACACUGGUACUGAGACACGGACCAGACUCCUACGGGAGGCAGCAGUGAGGAAUAUUGGUCAAUGGACGCAAGUCUGAACCAGCCAUGCCGCGUGCAGGAUGAAGCAUCUAUGGUGUGUAAACUGCUUUUGUACGGGAAGAAACACUGCUACGUGUAGCAGCUUGACGGUACCGUAAGAAUAAGGAUCGGCUAACUCCGUGCCAGCAGCCGCGGUAAUACGGAGGAUCCAAGCGUUAUCCGGAAUCAUUGGGUUUAAAGGGUCCGUAGGCGGCUUUAUAAGUCAGUGGUGAAAGCCCAUCGCUUAACGAUGGAACGGCCAUUGAUACUGUAGAGCUUGAAUUACUUGGAAGUAACUAGAAUAUGUAGUGUAGCGGUGAAAUGCUUAGAUAUUACAUGGAAUACCAAUUGCGAAGGCAGGUUACUACGAGUGGAUUGACGCUGAUGGACGAAAGCGUGGGGAGCGAACAGGAUUAGAUACCCUGGUAGUCCACGCCGUAAACGAUGGAUACUAGCUGUUCGGAGCAAUCUGAGUGGCUAAGCGAAAGUGAUAAGUAUCCCACCUGGGGAGUACGCACGCAAGUGUGAAACUCAAAUGAAUUGACGG
This 904-nucleotide ribosomal RNA is filed under the name uncultured bacterium. RNAcentral's name for it is "bacterial SSU rRNA". It matches the Rfam family "Bacterial small subunit ribosomal RNA", at positions 8 to 916 of the family's 1533-position model. The record is from RNAcentral.